RNAcentral lists this ribosomal RNA (4395 nucleotides) under Triticum aestivum (bread wheat). RNAcentral's name for it is "partial small subunit ribosomal RNA". Lineage: Eukaryota; Viridiplantae; Streptophyta; Magnoliopsida; Poales; Poaceae. The record is from RNAcentral.
AUGACGGCCGAGGGGACGGCGCGCGGCGGCGCCGGCGAGGCGCCGAAGGCGGAAUUGGCGGCGGCCAAGGCGGUCUCCCCGACGGGGGAGGAGCGCGAGGGGGUGGGCGGCCCCUUCGUGAUCGUCAACGGCGACUCCGACGGCCACUCGGACCCCGGCUCGGACACGGGCGCCGGGGCCGAGUCGGAUUCCCGCCCGGAGGAGGAGGAUCUGCCCCGGGCCAAUGCAGCCCCGGCUGCUGACGCGGGCGGAGAUUACCCCACCGCCGGUGGGGAAUUGGCCGCUCCGGACGGCGCCGUCGGCCUCCCAUCUUCCAACGGGCAUGCUAGCCCCGCUCCGGCGGAGUCUGAGGUUGAUGGUGUGGGCGAAGUAGAAGGUGAGGGAAGCCACAAUUCUGAAGCUGGACCGGGGGACCAGGGCACUGCUGCCGCUGGAGAGCUUGAUGGUCAAGAUGCAGCAACAGAACUUAAGAUUGACCAUGCUGACGCUGCUGAUGAUUCUGCUCCACAUGCCGUGGAAUCUGUGCUUAAUGUCAACGAUGGAGAAAGUGAAAAAAGUGCUGCCACUGAGGUUGUUGCUCCUGAAGAACAGCAGGAUGGAGAGAAGAAUGCUCCAGCAGAGUCCAGUGGUUCAGAUAAGCCCCCCACACAGGCUGAGUCUGGUUCCAUUGUCUUGGAGUCUGAGGGCAGUGGCGAGCAGAGCAAAGGAGAAGAGAUUGCUGCUGAGAUCAUGGAGUCAGGUACAGAUGGAUCAGGUGUCUCGGGGGUGACUGGACAGCAUGAUGCUGACACAAGUGUGACUGCUACUGAUCCUGUGAUUAACGUCGAUGAGGGCAAACAUGAGCAUGCUGCAGUCACAGAGCUGGUGGAGCAGGAUGGGAGCAACGGGCAUGACCAUGUUGAGCAGAUUGCUGAUUCUGGCACAUCUGCUCCUGAGAUAGAAGCUGAUGGGAGCAAAGGGCAGCAAAUAGAAGCACUGACUACUGAGCCUGAAGUAUUGGAUGGAGGCGAUUGUGAAGCGACUUCUAAGGGACCUUCAGAAGAGGAAGUUGUUGCAAACGGGCCUGGCUGUGCCAAGGACACUUCUCAGCCUGAAGUAUUGGAUGGAGGCGAUUGUGAAGCGACUUCUAAGGGACCUUCAGAAGAGGAAGUUGUUGCAAACGGGCUUGGCUGUGCCAAGGACACUGCUGACACUUCUUUGGAGCUUGAGGGAGAGAGCGAAGUUGCCUCUGUUGUGGUUGAAGUGGAGGGCGUAGUAGUAAAGGAUGGUGAGGGGGAUUUGCAUGAUGGUCAUACGGUUGUUGUCCCCUCAUCUGACGAGGAAGCAAAACCUCCCGCAAAGGAGGGUACAAAUGAGGCCAUUCCUGCUGAAGUUGUGAAGGAGGGAAUAAGUGAACAAAUUGUGCAAGAUAAUGAAUCCGUUAAGGUUGAUGUCUCUUCUGUCACACAUCAGUCAGUAAAUUCAGAAGCUCCAGUUGUUGAACCUAAGGGGGAUCACAUACUCCAGGUAGAAGAUGCUGCAGGUGAUGGAAACACUGCAGUUUCUGAUGUGAAGGUUGUCAUGUUGGAAAUGAACGCAGCAGAUAGCGUGCAAACACCGGAUCUCAAGUCGGCAUCUGAAGACAGGAGUGUACCAUUGCAUGCGAAUUCGUCCGACCAAGUUGAGGAGGAGGUAAACAAAGAAGUUUCCCCUGAGGACGCACAUUUAGCCCAGAAUGAAUAUUCUUCUGUACAGACUGGAAAACAUGAGCAGUUGGAAUUACCUGGCACUGGUGCAGCUGCAGCUGAUAAAAGUGACAAUGCUGUGGUAGAGGCAGAACCAGGUAAAGAGAUGGAGGUUGUUGAAGACGUUGCGUUGCAUGCGGCUGCAGCAUCUACUUUCCAUAAUGAGCCAAGGUCCAUUGAUUUCAUUGAUAACAAUUACGUAAAACCGGAUACUGAGUUGGAAAGUUGUGAUCAUGUACAAGCAGAGGAGUGUAAUUCUGAUGAAAUAUCUAGCACCGCUGUCGAUGAAGUUAUAUCUGGUGUUUCCACGGAACAUGGAACUGCUGUGACAGAUGACGCUGAACUCAGAUAUGAUACAGGAGGUGCAUCUCUUAGCGAAACUGCUGUUGAUCAAGGUGAAGCUGUUGCAUUGACUGAUAAUAAAGCUUCUGUUGUAGAUGAAGUUAAACCCUCUUCUGCCCCAGGAAGUGAAUCUGAUGUGGCUCCUGAAGCUGGUGAUGUUUCGCAAAUAGGCGAAUCACGUGAUUUGGUUACAGAUUGCCAAUCUAAUAAUGACCAGCCGGACAUUCUUGACACAUCAACUACGCGUGAAGAGCUAGUUUCUCUGACUGAAUAUCCUUGCCUGCCAGUUGUUACAUUGGAAUCUGGAGUUAAGGCUCCUCAUACGGACAAGGCAACCGCCACGUCAGAUGAGACAUCCAAAGAUACUGAAAAUAUAAAUGCAUGCAAUAUAUCUUCUACUGAGGUUGAAACCAAAUCUUUGGAAGUAGUGGAACCUUCAUCUGUUGACGGGGUAGUUCCAGUGGAACAUGAGAAUGAUGAUGAACAUGAACACAAAGGCAAGGAGAAGAUUGCUGAGGACUCCAGUGAGUCGCCUGUUGAACAGCCUGUUGAUCUUGAGAGUGACAAGGGAAAUAUACAACUCAUGAGGCCACACAAGUUCUUCAUCGUAAAGGUUCCUAAACUUGCGGGCGAUGAUGUCUGGGCAAAGGUACAAGAUGCUCAAGUUCAUCUGGAUCGCCUGACUCAGGAAAGAGAUGCAAUUAAUGCUCGCAAGAAAAAGCAAAAGGCUGCCUUUGAUGAGUAUCGGGAAAAGUUAGAGGCAGCACGGAAAGAAGAGACUGAAGCGAGAGCUGCACAUGCUGGCAAGAGGAAUGUUCUUGAUGGUGUACGGUCAACUAUUGGGAAGUUGAAUCAAGCAACUUCAGUUGAAGAAAUUGAUGAGUUGAUCGUGAGGAAACAGAGGACUAUGGAACAUGAAACAAUUUCUUUGAAAGAAGAGAAGCUAUUCAUUAAAGAGAUUAAUGAUCUGAAAGCCCAAAGGAAGCAAGCGUGCUCCAAUAUGGGCUCAGAGGCUGAAAUGAGUGAAGCAUUCCAUCAAAAGGAUCACAUUCAUGAGCAACAUAAGACUUUGAAGAAGGAAGCAGAUUUACUUUUCAAAAAUCUGAAGUCCCUUGAGGAGAACAGAAAAAAGAUUCAAAAGUCUUUCGAGGAUGAAAGAGCUGCUCUCAGAAAGUUAAAUGAUGACUUGUAUGCUGCCAAUGAACUACGUCAACAGGCCUAUGAGAAGUGGGUUGAGCUGAGAGGGGAACCGGGCAAGAAGAACAAGUACUUCUUCAUGUACAAGAAGGACCGCGAUGCUGUGGGCAAGCUCUUAUCAAGUGGUGACAUUGAUGGACUUCAGUCAUAUUGUAAUAAUCAGGUUGAGGGUUUUAUGGAGAUGUGGAACAAAGAUGAUGACUUCCGCAGGCUGUAUGUUGAAGCAAACCAGAUUAGCACUCUGAGGAGAUUAGCUACCCAUGAUGGAAGAUCACUUGGUCCUGAUGAGGAGCCUCCCGUCAUUCCCAGUAACAAUUACAGUAGAAGACCCAACAAUCCAUCUCAACUCACUGUUUCAAGCCCAAACGUUCCCAUUACAACUAAAGAAGCAGCACCUGAAAAGUCUACUGCAGUUGUUGUCCCUGUAGAAGAGGAUUCCUUUCCUGUUUUACCACCAACCCAGACCCAUAAGCAGGCCAAACCAAAGGCAGCUGGUAGUGGUUCAUCCCAGAAAGAAAUAACCCCAGCUCCAGCUCCAGCUCCAGAAGUGGUAGAUGUAAAACAGAUUGAAAAGGAAAAGGCUCGUCUGGCGGAGGAGAUGGAGUUAGCAAGGAAGGCGGAGGAGUUGGCACGCAAGGAGGAGGAAUUAAGAGAGCAGAGGGCUGCAGCUGAAAAGGAACAACUCCGCUUGGAGCAAAUAGCCAAAGCUAAGGAAGCUGAGGAAAGAAAGAAAAAGAAGGCAGAGAAGGCUCAGGAAAGGGCGGAGUUCAAAGCGCGCAAGGAAGCUGAGAUGAAGGAAAAGAAGAAAGCAAAGAAGUCUAAAAAGGUUGGCACCGCACCAGCAGACUUAGCAAGUGUCCAGAGCAACCCUGCACCUAUAGCUACAACAGACGCUGAAAGCAACACACCUGACAAUACUAGGGAUGUUGAUGUUCCUCAACAACCCCCAAGGAGGCCCGGUAAACCAGCAGUGAGGCAGCUGCAGCCCAUGCCCGCACCCCUGCGUAACAAGUUCAAAAGGAGAACGCGGCAGUACAUCUUCAUCGGAGUCGCAGUUGCCCUAGCUGUCGUCGCGUUGAUCCUGGCCGGCAGAACCUUAGACCUCCCUGGUUUAAGUUCUCUUCGCUUCUGA